This 202-nucleotide non-coding RNA is filed under the name Clostridium sp. RNAcentral describes it as "T-box sequence". It matches the Rfam family "T-box leader". From Rfam's summary of the family: Uncharged tRNA acts as the effector for transcription antitermination of genes in the T-box leader family. T-boxes are found upstream of many aminoacyl-tRNA synthetase genes and some amino acid biosynthetic genes usually in Gram-positive bacteria. The anticodon of a specific tRNA base pairs to a specifier sequence within the T-box motif, and the NCCA acceptor tail of the tRNA base pairs to a conserved bulge in the T-box antiterminator hairpin. The record is from RNAcentral. Lineage: Bacteria; Bacillati; Bacillota; Clostridia; Eubacteriales; Clostridiaceae.
CAUAAAUCGAUGAAAAGAAGAUUUAAUGUAAAUACGUUUAUAGAGAACUAGUGGUUGGUGAAAACUAGGAAACAAGCAUUAAAUUAACACUUUGAGAGGUAGAAGAAUUAAGUAGACCUACCCGUUUUCCGCGUUAAGGAGUUAAGGGCAGUAUUUUUUUAAUACUGAACUAAGGUGGUACCGCGAUUUGAUCGUCCUUAGA